ACGGAGGAUUCGAGCGUUAUCCGGAUUCAUUGGGUUUAAAGGGUGCGUAGGUGGAUAUAUAAGUCAGCGGUGAAAAGGAGACGCUCAACGUUUCCCGUGCCGUUGAUACUGUAUGUCUAGAAUUUUGAUGAGGUAGGCGGAAUGCGCAGUGUAGCGGUGAAAUGCAUAGAUAUUGCGCAGAAGGCCAAUUGCGAAGGCAGCUUACUAAUCAACAAUUGACACUGAGGCACGAAAGUGCGGGGAUCAAACAG
Molecule: ribosomal RNA, 251 nt
Filed under: uncultured bacterium
Lineage: Bacteria
Description: partial 16S ribosomal RNA
Rfam family: Bacterial small subunit ribosomal RNA
Source: RNAcentral